UGGGGAAUCGUCUAGUGGUAGGACAGCGGACUCUGAAUCCGUCAACGAAGGUUCGAAUCCUUCUUCCCCAGCCA
Molecule: transfer RNA, 74 nt
Filed under: Chloroflexota bacterium
Lineage: Bacteria; Bacillati; Chloroflexota
Also listed under: 3 other names
Description: tRNA-Gln
Rfam family: tRNA
About the family: Transfer RNA (tRNA) molecules are approximately 80 nucleotides in length. Their secondary structure includes four short double-helical elements and three loops (D, anti-codon, and T loops).
Source: RNAcentral